RNAcentral lists this transfer RNA (73 nucleotides) under Neotoma lepida (desert woodrat). It matches the Rfam family "tRNA". Rfam says of the family: Transfer RNA (tRNA) molecules are approximately 80 nucleotides in length. Their secondary structure includes four short double-helical elements and three loops (D, anti-codon, and T loops). Lineage: Eukaryota; Metazoa; Chordata; Mammalia; Rodentia; Cricetidae. The record is from Rfam by way of RNAcentral.
AGAGAGAUGGCUCAGUAGUUAAGAGCACUGACUGAUAUUCCAGAGGACGUGGGUUCAAUUCCCAGGCCAUCUG